GAUGAACGCUGGCGGCGUGCCUAAUACAUGCAAGUCGAGCGAACAGACGAGGAGCUUGCUCCUCUGACGUUAGCGGCGGACGGGUGAGUAACACGUGGAUAACCUACCUAUAAGACUGGGAUAACUUCGGGAAACCGGAGCUAAUACCGGAUAAUAUAUUGAACCGCAUGGUUCAAUAGUGAAAGACGGUUUUGCUGUCACUUAUAGAUGGAUCCGCGCCGCAUUAGCUAGUUGGUAAGGUAACGGCUUACCAAGGCAACGAUGCGUAGCCGACCUGAGAGGGUGAUCGGCCACACUGGAACUGAGACACGGUCCAGACUCCUUCGGGAGGCAGCAGUGGGGAAUCUUCCGCAAUGGGCGAAAGCCUGACGGAGCAACGCCGCGUGAGUGAUGAAGGUCUUCGGAUCGUAAAACUCUGUUAUUGGGGAAGAACAAAUGUGUAAGUAACUAUGCACGUCUUGACGGUACCUAAUCAGAAAGCCACGGCUAACUACGUG
RNAcentral lists this ribosomal RNA (497 nucleotides) under uncultured bacterium. Its description in RNAcentral is "partial 16S ribosomal RNA". It matches the Rfam family "Bacterial small subunit ribosomal RNA", at positions 28 to 507 of the family's 1533-position model. The record is from RNAcentral.